AAAUGAAUAGACGGGGACCCGCACAAGCAGUGGAGUAUGUGGUUUAAUUCGAGGCAACGCGAAGAACCUUACCAAGGCUUGACAUCCCGCGACAAACGUGGAAACACGUCUUCCCCUUCGGGGGCGCGGAGACAGGUGGUGCAUGGUUGUCGUCAGCUCGUGUCGUGAGAUGUUGGGUUAAGUCCCGCAACGAGCGCAACCCCUGCUGCCAGUUGCCAUCAUUAAGUUGGGCACUCUGGCGGGACUGCCGGUGAUAAAUCGGAGGAAGGUGGGGAUGACGUCAAAUCAUCAUGCCCCUUAUGUCUUGGGCUACACACGUACUACAAUGGCCGUUACAGAAGGAAGCGAAGCCGCGAGGCGGAGCGAAUCCCAAAAGGCGGCCCCAGUUCGGAUUGCAGGCUGCAACUCGCCUGCAUGAAGUCGGAAUUGCUAGUAAUUGCAGGUCAGCAUACUGCAGUGAAUACGUUCCCGGGUCUUGUACACACCGCCCGU
Molecule: ribosomal RNA, 492 nt
Filed under: uncultured bacterium
Lineage: Bacteria
Description: bacterial SSU rRNA
Rfam family: Bacterial small subunit ribosomal RNA
Source: RNAcentral